Long non-coding RNA from Cucumis sativus (cucumber), 763 nucleotides. RefSeq lists it as uncharacterized. The transcript is spliced from 2 exons. Lineage: Eukaryota; Viridiplantae; Streptophyta; Magnoliopsida; Cucurbitales; Cucurbitaceae. The record is from RefSeq and is a predicted model, not a curated record.
CCGAUGAAAAACACAGUUUCUCUCAAUAAUACAUGAAAGCAAGUUUUCCUAUUUAUACACAGAUUUUCUCAUCUCAAUCAUUAUAUUCCAAUGGAUUUUAAAAAACAAUUUCUACGAUUUGUGGCUAACCCACUUAAACUUUGCCUUGUUUGGUGGAGAUGAAAAAUCCCACUAAAAUAACCAUAUAAAUAAACACUUCCUCCUUCAUAUAAUAGAGCCACAAAACCACUUAUACAAACAUUCUCCCUCAAAAGAAGUCAAAAUACUGAGAAGAUGAGACAAAGAGUAGCGGUUGCCGUAAUCAUCAUGUUGGCGUUGAUGAUUAUGAACACUUUCUUCCUUGUUGAUGGAAGGCAUUUGAAGUUGCAAGACGAAGAGGAAGAGAAGAAUCCUAUUGAGAAUCAAAAGUUAACAGGUAGAAAACAAUAUGAAACAAGUGAAUAUAAUCACCAUGGAUGCUAUAGAAGUGACUAUAAUUGUUGGAGUAAUAAGGAGACGAAGGAAUAAUGGAUUUGGAAAUACGCGAAGGAAUAAUGGAUUUGGAAAUACAAACAUACACACCGAGAGAUAUAUUUGUCUGAGUUUGUGUUUUGUAUAAGAUGAGUAUUCAUUUUUCGAGCUAGGGUCGGCUAGAAAGAUGAUAACAAAAGAAGAUAUUUUGUAUGCAAUAUUAUGUUUGGCUAAAAAUGAUGUAUGAGAGCUAGGAGGCGUACUUAUUUAUGGUAUAAUAUAUAAUGCAUGUGCAUGGAAUUUCAAUAAUCAA